RNAcentral lists this non-coding RNA (32 nucleotides) under Mus musculus (house mouse). The record is from RNAcentral. Lineage: Eukaryota; Metazoa; Chordata; Mammalia; Rodentia; Muridae.
UAGGAAUGUUUUAUCAGUUUAAAACUGAACCA